UCGUGGAUUGGUUUGUCAGGUUAAUUCCGUUAACGAACGAGACCUUAACUUUUAACUAGGCGGCUAGUACAUCGAAGCUCUUUUGGGCUUUUGGUGUGCAUGUUUCAAUGGAAGGCAACUUCCUGGAAACUGGUCUUGGUGGCAGUGGCGAUAGGCCAGAGCUCGUCUGGUCUGUCCUACUGUCUAGCUUCUUAGAAGGACAAUGCAGCGUUUUGUAUGGUUAGCGUAGGGAAGUUUGAGG
This 241-nucleotide ribosomal RNA is filed under the name uncultured eukaryote. Its description in RNAcentral is "partial 18S ribosomal RNA". It matches the Rfam family "Eukaryotic small subunit ribosomal RNA", at positions 1299 to 1450 of the family's 1831-position model. The record is from RNAcentral.